AGUGAACGCUGGCGGUAGGCCUAACACAUGCAAGUCGAACGGCAGCACAGUAAGAGCUUGCUCUUACGGGUGGCGAGUGGCGGACGGGUGAGGAAUACAUCGGAAUCUACUUUUUCGUGGGGGAUAACGUAGGGAAACUUACGCUAAUACCGCAUACGACCUACGGGUGAAAUCAGGGGAUCUUCGGACCUUGCGCGAUUGAAUGAGCCGAUGUCGGAUUAGCUAGUUGGCGGGGUAAAGGCCCACCAAGGCGACGAUCCGUAGCUGGUCUGAGAGGAUGAUCAGCCACACUGGAACUGAGACACGGUCCAGACUCCUACGGGAGGCAGCAGUGGGGAAUAUUGGACAAUGGGCGCAAGCCUGAUCCAGCCAUACCGCGUGGGUGAAGAAGGCCUUCGGGUUGUAAAGCCCUUUUGUUGGGAAAGAAAAGCAGCAUGUUAAUACCCCGCUGUUCUGACGGUACCCAAAGAAUAAGCACCGGCUAACUUCGUG
This 492-nucleotide ribosomal RNA is filed under the name uncultured bacterium. Its description in RNAcentral is "partial 16S ribosomal RNA". It matches the Rfam family "Bacterial small subunit ribosomal RNA", at positions 29 to 507 of the family's 1533-position model. The record is from RNAcentral.